RNAcentral lists this long non-coding RNA (234 nucleotides) under Homo sapiens (human). RNAcentral's name for it is "HSALNT0385436". Lineage: Eukaryota; Metazoa; Chordata; Mammalia; Primates; Hominidae. The record is from RNAcentral.
CCAGCCUUGGGAUUCCCAGGUGUUUCCAUUCAGUGAUCAGGACUGAACACACAGGAAUCACCAUGGAGUUUGUGCUGAGCUGGGUUUUCCUUGUUGCUAUAUUAAAAGGUGCCCAGUGUGAGGUGCAGCUGGUGGAGUCUGGGGGAGGCUUGGUACAGCCUGGGGGGUCCCUGAGACUGUCCUGUCCAGCCUCUGGAUUCACCUUCAGUAACCACUACAUGAGCUGGGUCCGCC